Megalobrama amblycephala (Wuchang bream) is the source of this 1848-nucleotide long non-coding RNA. RefSeq lists it as uncharacterized. The record is from RefSeq and is a predicted model, not a curated record. NCBI's taxonomy places the organism in Eukaryota, Metazoa, Chordata, Actinopteri, Cypriniformes, Xenocyprididae. The transcript is spliced from 3 exons.
GUAUGACGUCACCAAAGCCUCGUUUCCUUAAAUGGAAACUUUUGCCCCGCCUUUCUUCAGAAAUGAUUGGCAGUUUGAGAGAGUUUGAAAGCACCAAGCUUUUGGAUUUUACAGCAUUUGGGAAUGGGUGAACUGGCUUCCUCUGAAACACUGUGGCUGUGUGCUGGAGAAGAAAAGAGGAUUGAUGGAUGUUACGGAUGGAUGAAGGUGACUCAGUGGAUGCGUCACUAUGGAGUGAACACACCAGAUGUAGCGCACAUUCCUUCUCUGUGCCCGUCUGUCUUACUCAUGGGAUUGAAGGACUCAUGUGAACAUGAGUCAGACACAGUUGGCAAUGAAGCAAACAUGAUCUUAUUAGUCAUGAUUAUAGCAAGGGAUCUUACGGCACAGGCGCACCCACAUUGUCUUAUCCUCUUUCACUUCCUUACUUUGCGAUUAUUAAAAUUUCAGUAUCUGUUAAUGUUCAGUGAACUCUUUUUCAACUCCUCCAGUAUCAUGCUUUCCAGCAAAGUUAUGAAAUAGAUUACCAAUACAGAUAAGUUUAUUUGUCACAUAUCCUUCCUAAAGUACUUCAUGUGUUUUUGGGAAGUUCCUACUUAGCAGGGUUGGGUGAAAUUUAAAAAUUGAGUUGGAAUUUGGCCACAACACACAGCUUUCUAUCUUCAAAGAUGUCAUGAAAUGAAAACUCACCCUAUCUUUUUAAAUGCAUGUUUUAUAUUUUAUUAUGAACGUUGCAUCAUGUGUAUGUUUCCAUUUUUAUGUCAUAACUGGUUCUUCUGGGUCUUCCUCUCUCUGGUGACAUAUGCUAGACUUCUAGUAGGAUGCACAUCCCUUUUCUUACAAAUAUUUCUUAUGUGAGUUCAAGUGAUUUCAGUCUGAUUACUGAAGACACUAAAUGAUUUUGGACAGUUGGAGUUGAAAAUUACAUUCAGGCUCCUUUUUUAGCUUCAGACUGUGAUUUUAUUCAGUUGGAGGAUUAAAAAAUGUAUGAUAUUUUGAAUCGAUUUUGUUAUCAUGACUUUUAGCAAUGAGACACAUGAUUCUGCAUGAGUUUGUUGUGUGGAAAGUCUGGUAGUGUAUCAUCACAGGUUGUUUAGUGUACACGUUCUAAAAAAUAAUGUGUUGGCUCAACAAAACAAAAAAAAUAAAAUAAAAAUAAACACAACAGUUUGCAUAUUUUUUUGAGUUAUGGCAACUUUGAGUGAUUUUACAUCCAACCAACAAGCUACAUUGAGUUGGAGGAACUUAAUAAUUUGUAGUAUAAACACAAAUUUUUCAGUUUUUCAGUUCAAAUCAACAGCUAUCAUAGCACAUGCUAACAUAACUUAUUUAACAUAUUUAAUGAACAAGUAAGAUAUUACUCGUCACUGACCGUCAUUGCUUAUAGAGUCAAUGUAGUGUUUACCUUCAUGUAUCUGCUCUUCAGCACAAUGAUAACCACAAAAACUCUUUUAAAUGUCGAACAUAACAGCAUUAAACACUAACAGGUCUUUCCCUUCACUAAAAACAAAAAAAAAUAAUACUUCAUUUCAACAUUUACUCUCCUUAAGCCCUGGGUAUACUUUGUUUUUUUACACGUACGCUAGAGUACGCACACAGCCUUGCAAAGUAUACUUCACUUGACUCGUCGUUCGAUGCAUGCGUUACUCUCGCCACGAGUUACAACCCAUGUAAACAUCUUUGUAUUCUUUUAUGCUAGAGUUGUACAGGUCAGGGUACUUUCUAACCUGUUUGCACAAUCUCUCGUCUAUAUAGGCCUCCAUUGUCGCUGUAGCUUGCAUGCGUUCCGGUCUGUUCUGUUUAUGCAGGUUUUCUUUGACUACCUUUUGAAUCGACGCCCCCAGGGCA